Long non-coding RNA from Ictalurus punctatus (channel catfish), 322 nucleotides. The record is from Ensembl. NCBI's taxonomy places the organism in Eukaryota, Metazoa, Chordata, Actinopteri, Siluriformes, Ictaluridae.
CCACAGACACUCUCUCUCUCUCUCUCUCUCUCUCGUGCGCAUGGAUUGAAUGAGUGGGCGGAGUCAGAGCGGAAGUUGUGUUCGAGUUGUGCAGGCUUGUGUCACCUGACUUAAAGAAGGCAUUGUUUGAAGGGCUUGAUCAGCACCUCCCACGGCUCCUGCAGUUGUACAACACCGAGAGGCAGUGAAAUACCCGAAAUCCAACAUGUGAUGACCCGCAUUGAUCAAGAGACAGGAGCCUGUGGUUUCCUACUCUGAACGCUGUUCGAGCCAUGUCGACUUCAGGAGGCCCCACUCCACCCUUCACCACCCUGUCAGUCAC